GACGAACGCUGGCGGCGUGCUUAACACAUGCAAGUCGAACGAUGAACCCGGAGCUUGCUCUGGGGGAUUAGUGGCGAACGGGUGAGUAACACGUGAGUAACCUGCCCUGGACUCUGGGAUAAGCGUUGGAAACGACGUCUAAUACCGGAUAGGACCUUGGAUCGCAUGAUCUGGGGUGGAAAGUUUUUUCGGUCUGGGAUGGACUCGCGGCCUAUCAGCUUGUUGGUGAGGUAAUGGCUCACCAAGGCGUCGACGGGUAGCCGGCCUGAGAGGGUGACCGGCCACACUGGGACUGAGACACGGCCCAGACUCCUACGGGAGGCAGAAGUGGGGAAUAUUGCACAAUGGGCGAAAGCCUGAUGCAGCAACGCCGCGUGCGGGAUGACGGCCUUCGGGUUGUAAACCGCUUUUAGUAGGGAAGAAGGGCUUCGGCUUGACGGUACCUGCAGAAAAAGGACCGGCUAACUACGUG
RNAcentral lists this ribosomal RNA (472 nucleotides) under uncultured bacterium. Its description in RNAcentral is "partial 16S ribosomal RNA". It matches the Rfam family "Bacterial small subunit ribosomal RNA", at positions 28 to 507 of the family's 1533-position model. The record is from RNAcentral.